UCUACCAUUUUUUUCCGCCCUGUAAGGCCUUUCCGUCCAGUUGUAUUUUCUCCAUCAGUGCUUGUAAAGUGGCUUACGUCACAUCUGCUAUGACUUGAGUCACCCGAAUGGAUGUGACAACAUCUUCUCAAUAGAACUACUAUAGCACCCGUUCUUGCGAAUAUGAGUGCCUGUAUUUAUUCUUCGUCUAGCGGUGUUACCACGUUUCUGAAUACGUACGGGAAGAUAUGGACCCGCUAUCGAAGUUUUCAUGUGGGAACGACGACACAGAGAAAUAAGUGUAUAUAUGCUGAAAUAAGGAGAACUGAACUAGGUCACUACCUCUAUGCACAGCACUACGAAGUCGGAUCUAAUUGGGUUAGCCAGCUGUUUGACGCAGAAGCAAUAGAAAACCAAUCUAGGGAACCUGUACUCCGGAUAAAGAUGAAAAAAGGAAGACACCCAUAUGAUUACACCUUGCGGUUCUCGUCUCCUGUGGAACGGUGUGCCGUAUUUAGUUUUUACCUUCAAGGUAAGCCUGAGUGCGAGAUGCUAGUUUGGGAGCAUCACGUUCAACAAAGUGUGCCCGCGUGCCAGUUGGCAUAUAAAAAAUAUUGUGUAAGAGAGUUUCCUAUCUACACACGCCAAUGUGCACCACCUAAACGCAAAAUGCAAGCUACUCGCUCUCACUGAUAACAAGACUCGUCGCUGUUCGAAGGCACCUUGAAUAAAACAUUUGGCAUUUCUGU
This is a long non-coding RNA of Dermacentor albipictus, 728 nucleotides long. RefSeq lists it as uncharacterized. The record is from RefSeq and is a predicted model, not a curated record. Lineage: Eukaryota; Metazoa; Arthropoda; Arachnida; Ixodida; Ixodidae.